AGAGUUUGAUCCUGGCUCAGGAUGAACGCUGGCGGCGUGCCUAAUACAUGCAAGUCGAACGGGUUGCCAUAAGGCAGCCAGUGGCGAACGGGUGAGGAGCACAUGGGGAACCUGCCCGUCAGAGGGGGACAACAGCUGGAAACGGCUGCUAAGACCGCAUAGGCUCAAGGAGGGCAUCCUCGUUGAGUUAAAGUGUCCUUUCGGGGACAGCUGACGGAUGGACCUGUGGCGCAUUAGCCAGUUGGCGGGGUAAAGGCCCACCAAAGCGACGAUGCGUAGCCGGCCUGAGAGGGCGGACGGCCACACUGGGACUGAGACACGGCCCAGACUCCUGCGGGAGGCAGCAGUAGGGAAUUUUCGGCAAUGGGGGGAACCCUGACCGAGCAACGCCGCGUGAGUGAGGAAGGCCUUCGGGCUGUAAAGCUCUGUUGCAGAGGAAGAACGGGAGAGCGAGGAAAUGCGCUUUUCGUGACGGUACUCUGCGAGGAAGCCACGGCUAACUACGUGCCAGCAGCCGCGGUAAUACGUAGGUGGCAAGCGUUAUCCGGAAUCAUUGGGCGUAAAGAGGGAGCAGGCGGACGCGAAGGUCCGUAGUAAAAGCCCGAAGCUAAACUUCGGGCGGCUAUGGAAACCGCGCGCCUGGAGUGCGGAAGAGGAUCGCGGAAUUCCAUGUGUAGCGGUGAAAUGCGUAGAUAUAUGGAGGAACACCGGUGGCGAAGGCGGCGGUCUGGUCCGGCACUGACGCUCAUUCCCGAAAGCGUGGGGAGCAAAUAGGAUUAGAUACCCUAGUAGUCCACGCUGUAAACGAUCGAUACCAGGUGUCGGGAGUCACAUCCCGGUGCCGAAGCCAACGCAUUAAGUAUCGCGCCUGAGUAGUACGUCCGCAAGGAUGAAACUCAAAGGAAUUGACGGGGGCCCGCACAAGCGGUGGAGCAUGUGGUUUAAUUCGAAGCAACGCGAAGAACCUUAGAUCGGAAGAGCA
This 982-nucleotide ribosomal RNA is filed under the name metagenome. RNAcentral describes it as "bacterial SSU rRNA". It matches the Rfam family "Bacterial small subunit ribosomal RNA", at positions 8 to 986 of the family's 1533-position model. The record is from RNAcentral.